Long non-coding RNA from Cervus elaphus (red deer), 596 nucleotides. RefSeq lists it as uncharacterized. The transcript has 4 exons. The record is from RefSeq and is a predicted model, not a curated record. NCBI's taxonomy places the organism in Eukaryota, Metazoa, Chordata, Mammalia, Artiodactyla, Cervidae.
CCAAUAACCAGCUGUACAGUGAGUCAGAACUCUGGGCCUCAUCUGUGAAAAGCUGUAAAAUGUCUUCUCACUCUAUUAAAAGGGUGCAGUCUUAUCCUAGAGAUGAUGGCGGUAAACCUGAUGAUGAGAUGAAACCUGGUGAUGAGAUGAUGAGAGAAACCUGAAUCUGAUAACUUUAUGGAGAUACUGAACCAACUCUAACUUCAGAUUUCUUUUACAUAAAAAGAAAUCAACUCUGCACUCUUCUCCAUCCUGCUCUGUACCUGGGAGGCUGAUGUCCGUGGACUGCAUCAGUGGGCUCUCAGGUCCUCUGAUUUUUAACUGGUUUCAGCCAAAGUGAGGCACGGGCAGGAGAUUCAGGCAUCCCUGUGAUGUUCACAGACUUCCUCCAGGGCUCCUGAGUAAGGAGACCUGGGACCACUGUGACAGUUUGAAAAACACGGAGACCUUUGAAAGCCCUGGUGAAGGGGACCAAGUGCAUUCCUGGUAGCAGAGCCAAGCCAGUAAAAUCAAGGUGAGAAGAUGGCUGUAUUAUAGGAUAACCCAUCUCAGCCCCCAUAAAGGGACCUGCUCAUCGUAUAAAGAGGUAGCUGUAA